RNAcentral lists this long non-coding RNA (1332 nucleotides) under Amazona collaria (yellow-billed parrot). RNAcentral's name for it is "lncRNA (ENSACOG00000001223.1)". Lineage: Eukaryota; Metazoa; Chordata; Aves; Psittaciformes; Psittacidae. The record is from RNAcentral.
AUGCCCUCGUCUGUCCGCAGCCCCAGGGCGAGCACCUCCUCCAGCCUGCGGGCACAUGGAGAGAUGCAGAGAGCGCAGCACGAGGGGAGUAAGGAAGGUGGGGGGGCCAUGGUCCUGUACUCACUGCUCCAGCGGGCUCAGCAUCACCCGCUUCCCGGUGCCAUGCCCCCGGCUCUGCACCGCCCGCAUCCAGGCGAUGGGCUCCAGCAUCUGGACGCGGGCCUCCCGGCUGCAGCCACCCUCGCCCCGCGGUACAAACCGCCCGUGUGCCCCUGCAGUGGCAGAGAGGGGGCAGUGGAGCUUGGGGAGGCACACACAGCCAUGUACAGCCCCAGUCACCCCUGCUUACCAGGCCCCACACCGAUGUACUGCUCAGCCCGCCAGCAGGAGAGGUUGUGGGUGCUGAGGGCGCCCUGUGGGGGAGCGUUGUAUGGAGCGAUGGGGCUGAGCCUGCUGCAGGGGCGGCACAGCAUGGGGGGGGUAGCAUGGAGGGCACCCCACCUUCCUUGCAAAGUUGGAGACCUCGUAGUGCCGGAAGCCAGCAGCCACCAGCAUGGCGCGUGCUGCCUGGUACAUGUCAGCCAGGAGGUCCUGGGGGGGGCGCAGGCAGGGCUCCCCCCCACACCUGUGCUGCCAGCACUGUGCCCCGCUCCAGCGUCAGCUGGUACAGGGAGACGUGGUCAUCGCAGAGCCGCAGCGCUGCCUCCAGCCCCUGGGUCCAGGCAUGGAGGCUCUGCCGCGGCAGCCCGAAGAGCAGGUCCAUGGAGGUCCGGCCGGGGAAGAGCCCCCGCGCUGCCUCCACUGCCGCCUGAGCCUCCGCUGCCGUGUGCUCCCGGCCCAGCAGCCGCAGCUCAACAUCAUCCAGUGACUGCAGAGAGAGCGCAGUGGCAGUGGGGAGCAGAGGGGGGCUGCAGGGGAUGGGAUGGGGAGAGCAGCUCGCACCUGCACGCCGAUGGACAGGCGGUUGACGCCGGCUGCCUUGAAGCCAGCGAGGCGCUGUGUGGUGGUGGAGCUGGGGUUGGCUUCCAGCGUGACCUCAGCACCAGCAGGGAGAUGGGCAGCCCCUGCCACAGCCUCCAGCACCGCUGCGAUGGUGCCAGGGCUGGCCAGGCUGGGGGUGCCCCCACCGAAGAACACAGAGGUGAUGCUGUAGGGCAGAUAAUGGGGAGGCUGCGGGUGGGCACUGAAGGGCUCUGUGUCCCCCCAUUGUCCCCAUGCACCCACCUCUUCACCCGGCUGAGCCGGAGCAGGGUGCGUGCCUCCCGCACCAGGCAGGCGCGCACGGCCGCCUCGUCCACCGCCGGCACCACGUAUGCGUUGAAGUUGCAGUAG